AGACAGUGAGGAUCUCAGCCACCUCUGCCCUGGGCCACAUGCUGAGCCGGGACAGGAAAUACAAGCCUGGAGCCACCAUGAAAAGGGAACUGUAUACAUUUCUGCUCCCGUUGCUGCUGAACAUGCAGGAGGGAAACAGCGAGAUGGUCAAGGUCCACGAGGGCGAAUACCAGCUGGUGGGGCAGUGACUGUCCCAGAGCCUUGAGUUCCUGGAGAGCCCACAGACCUCCCUCAGGCAGCUGCCCUGAAUUUCAUAGGAUGCACACUGAGAAACACUGACAUGAGCCGCGUCCGUGAGGAGGACGUGCAGGUGAUCAGGACUGAGUUGGAGAAUCCUGUGAACCAAACUGCAUUAAAGGCCACUGUUGAUGGAAAAGAAAUGGUUACCAUGAAGAAACUUGAUUUUUCCAAA
This is a long non-coding RNA of Lemur catta (Ring-tailed lemur), 412 nucleotides long. RefSeq lists it as uncharacterized. The record is from RefSeq and is a predicted model, not a curated record. The transcript has 4 exons. Lineage: Eukaryota; Metazoa; Chordata; Mammalia; Primates; Lemuridae.